This 886-nucleotide long non-coding RNA is filed under the name Rattus norvegicus (Norway rat). RNAcentral describes it as "long non-coding RNA NONRATT023244". The record is from RNAcentral. Lineage: Eukaryota; Metazoa; Chordata; Mammalia; Rodentia; Muridae.
UCUCCCUUCCCCCACCAAAAAGCUGUAUUGGAUUUUUGUUUUUUGUUUCUAGAAAUAGGUGUAACAUUUCAGAAUUGAGCAUUGGUCCUCAAGGCUUCUUCCAGUUCACUGUGUGUGGAAUCUGUCACCUCUUUUCAGUGUCCACCAUCUGACUCACUGAGGAUAUCUUGGACACUUGUUUGCCCACUUGAGGGUUCAAAAGCCUUACUCUGUGUUUCAGUAUAGGGCUAAGGCAUCCCCAAGCUCUUCGUGAUAGGUUUCCUUUCCCCUACUUGACCUUGUAUUGGUACCAUGAAAAAGCACACAGUCCUAGCUCCCUGGAGGUACACACUCCAGUACUGUUAGGUGGACUCUACUCCUAACAGGGAUCCUAGAGGGUUCUCUGGAGGAUGGGAAAGGAGCAGUCUCAUGUCCUGCCAAGUAGUAGCCAGCAGUUGCCUUACCCCUGCCUGCUGGCCAUGUUCCCACCUCCUCAUGGAGAGGGCUUUCAGAGGUCCUCGAGGCUGGAUUUUCUCAGUCUCUGCUGUGCCAUUCUGAGUGGGAAGCAGACCACACUUUGUGGCCAGGUGUCUAAGUGGAAGUGAGGUCUUGAAUUCUCGGUGGACUUUUUGGUUUGUGGGGGAGUUUUGGUUGUGUUUCUUGGUUCUAUUUCAGCCAAACUUGCCUGCUUUUGAUUUCUUUAAAGGAUAAGUGGUCUAUCUAUCUAUAUACAUGUAUGUUUGCAUUUUAAUUGUAAAUGUUUUGAAAAAAAACCCAGACAUGUCUUUCUAUAACUGACAUCCGAUUCAGACAUCAUUCUCUCCCCUUUCACCCUCUUUUCCCUCUUUUCAUACUCUUGUAUUGGUUCUAAUAAAGGAUUGCUUUUCAAAUAUGAAAAAAAAAAGAG